GGCGAACGCUGGCGGCGUGCUUAACACAUGCAAGUCGAACGGAAAGGCCCUGCUUUUGUGGGGUGCUCGAGUGGCGAACGGGUGCGUAACACGUGAGUAACCUGCCCUUGACUUUGGGAUAACUUCAGGAAACUGGGGCUAAUACCGGAUAGGAGCUCCUGCUGCAUGGUGGGGGUUGGACAGUUUCGGCGGUUGGGGAUGGACUCGCGGCUUAUCAGCUUGUUGGUGGGGUAGUGGCUUACCAAGGCUUUGACGGGUAGCCGGCCUGAGAGGGUGACCGGCCCCAGUGGGACUGAGAUACGGCACAGACUGCUACGGGAGGCAGAAGUGGGGAAUAUUGAACAAUGGGCGGAAGCCUGAUGCAGCAACGCCGCGUGCGGGAUGACGGCCUUCGGGUUGUAAACCGCUUUCGCCUGUGACGAAGCGUGAGUGACGGUAAUGGGUAAAGAAGCACGGGCUGACUACGUG
Molecule: ribosomal RNA, 468 nt
Filed under: uncultured bacterium
Lineage: Bacteria
Description: partial 16S ribosomal RNA
Rfam family: Bacterial small subunit ribosomal RNA
Source: RNAcentral